Long non-coding RNA from Crotalus tigris (Tiger rattlesnake), 2052 nucleotides. RefSeq lists it as uncharacterized. The transcript has 2 exons. Lineage: Eukaryota; Metazoa; Chordata; Lepidosauria; Squamata; Viperidae. The record is from RefSeq and is a predicted model, not a curated record.
UUGCAGCCCAUCACCCUAAUUGACCUUCAAUAUCUUCUUGCUCUCAUUGCUGAUUAAGCAUGCCCGGUCUGGUCUUUCAUGAAUCAGUUCCUGGCUAUACAAAACUUUCUUCCCCAAGUUGCACAUGGCUGUUUUUUCACAAGAUCUGGGGAAGAUGGCCUUGUGUGGCCAGCAGCUGCUUCAUGAAGGAUCAGACCACACAUACCUCAGCAGCAGCAGGAACAAAAAGGAACAGCUGGGGCAAUGGAGUACAGGAUAGUGAUGAUGACAGUGGCUGGGCUGGGGCAGCUUUAGCUUUGCAUCACUCUGCUCGGCUGGCCUCAGCUUUGUGUUGCAAAAGGUUUCACACUGCAAAGGGCUUCUUGCUGUACUGCAGCUUAGGGGCUACUUGCUCUGCAAUAAGAAACCCAAGAUGCAGUAUGGAAAGCAGCAUCAGAGCUAUGUGGUUCUAGGGCUCCUUGCUGUCUUGCAAGUCAGUGAUAAAUAGGGGAAUUGAAAAGGAGGUGGCCCCUUACCUUACCAAGGCUUGGGAUUGGGAGGGACCAAGCAUGAAACAGUUUGGAUUGGGUGAAUACUUGCUUCACAACCUGCAUUUCUCAGUUAACAAUAGCAACAGGGGGGUGGAAUUGCUAUCCUUAGUGUGGUCAUGUGACAUGCUUUAUGACAUCACUUAGCAAUGGAAAUUCUGGUUCCUAUAUGCCAAGGACUACAUGUAGUUCCGGGCGCACCAUGCUGUGAUAAAAUCAUGUUUUAAGAUCUUGUGACAAGUCAGUAUGGUUGAGGGCCAAUCUGAUCUCCAGGGAAAUGAUGUUCCAUAGAGUGAGAAUAUGACAGAAAAGACUAGUCUAGCAAACAGACUAGGACCAUGCCCUUCCUGUUGGAUCUGAUGGAAUGGGAAGAUAGGAUUAGAGAGAGUUGGUUCCUCAAAUAACCUGGUCCCAUUCAUAAUCAGUGCUCUUUCAAAACCACCAAACUUAGCUACCCUAGUCCCAAGUGCUGGCCAUAAAAUCCAUAGUUUAUAAUUUAGCUAUAUACUAUGUCUCCUGCUGAUCUUGAAUCUCCCCAUGUUUAGUUGCAGUAUGUAUCUUUGAGUUCUAGCAAGGUAAGAUAGAGAAAAGGAGAGAGUGUCAAGAGUAAACGAGUUCUGAGUAGAAAUAUGCAAAAAAUAUUUCAUGAUAUAAUCAUAUAAUAUUUUAUAACAUAAAUAUAAGCAAAUUUCAGAAGAUUCUAUAGAAACUUUCUAAAUUAGAUAAGAGCUCAGAAAUAACUCAUCUUGAUUCUCAUCUUGAUAUUGCCUGUCACCAAUAUCUCAGCACAACAUAUUCCACCAAUCUGUCCAUCCACAAUAUUUCCAACACUUUCUCUUACUUCCCUUACCUGACAUCCUUCAGCUGCCAAUGUUCAACCCCUACCGCACAGCAUAUCAGCGUGCUUACCCCAUAAUCUUUCCAGAACCUUCUGUUCUAUCCCUCUCCUGCCUCUCAACCGCUACCAAUAUCCUUGACUUUUCCCACUCUUCCUUAAAACACAUACUUAGAACACCUACAUUUCAGUCCAUAUGGACAAGAAAACAACCCCGUUUUGUUCCAUACUCCAACCAAACACAUAUUUUGAUUUAAGCACAGAUCGCAAUGAGUUAUUGGACUCAUGAAAACUGUUCAUACAGUGUUUUUUUAUUAAUGAUGAAAGAAGGUAGAUUGAGUAUAAAAUAGUGAUCAGUUCAAAAGAAGUUCACUGAGGUGAUUUAGUCAUAUAAAAAGAAUUACAAAAAAAUUAUGUUGAAAGGAUCUGGAAGACUAAGAAAGGUUCAGUUAGUUGGAAUUGAUGAAGUCUUCAAAACUCAGAAUUGGUCCAGUUGUGAUAUCAAAGAUACGAAUGAAAAGUUACUCAUAAGAAAAUAGCACUCCAGAUCGCAACGAACGGUCAAGACCAUCAGAAAAGCUCAGGCGUUUUGGGAAUAUUAUUCCCAGGAAAUAAGAGGGCGCCGCACCGGAGGCCUUCAGCGCCAAGUCAUCGCCAACUCGCCUGUUCGGUCAGAAAACCUCUGCAUAG